GGAGGGAGCUCAGCCCCUCCACGGAGCAGCCGGGUGAUUUCUGCAGUGUAUUUUGUUCGGUGGCACUUGAUGGAACAGCAAUUGGAGAGAUUUGCAGGCAUUAUCAUGGCAAAUGUCCAGCAGACCGGAUAUGGGGUGAUCAGCUGUUUGAAGGUAAAAGGUAAGAGCCAUGAAGUCGUGUUACAAGAACAUCUGUGUUUAUUGGGACAUUGAAGAGCCUCAGCUCAUGGAUAUGUAAGGUGAAACAGGAGACUUCCUUCACUGCCUUUCUCUGGGAGCACGAUGGGCACUAAUUACCUGCUCACGGCCAAGCUGGCACCCGGCAUGAGUUGUCAGGAGCCUCCAGCCCCUUCCUGAAGCAUGGAGCCACAAUUUCCACUUCAGGUACUUCCUCUUUCCUCUCUUGAGAAGUGAAGAGGGGUGCCUGCUCCAGUAAUUCUCAGCCCCUGCUAUUCUUCCUGUAGCCCUGGAGAACAUCACACCUGGAAGACACCUUAGCAGUCACCUGGCUCCAUCUUCUCUGCAAUGCAACAAUCAUUUCUCCUGUAGCAUCUUGGGCAAGGAUGAGCAGAGGGCACUGGAUUUAAACUCAGAAAGCCUUUCUGAGGCUCGGUUUUCUCAUCAGCAAAAUAUGGAUUACACUACCAGCCUCAAAAUGUUGCAGUAGGGAUUAUAUGAGACCCUAUUCCAGCACAUCUUGGGAGGAAUGCACAAAGCUAGGAGGACCGCUGAGCCACAGGGAGCAGAGUACAGACUCAUCCCCACUCACUGGGGAGACAUGCCUCUUCCACGGGCAACCAUUCGCUCCGCUAAUAGCAUGUCUUUAAUGGAUGACAAUCCCUUAAUCCUCUUAGAAAUGAGGUAAUUCCUACAUUGUUUAGGAAGAAUGGGAUGACUAUUUCACACUUAUACAAUAGUUUGAAUAAAUGGAGUUUGUUAUAAAUAUUAA
Long non-coding RNA from Cebus imitator (Panamanian white-faced capuchin), 949 nucleotides. RefSeq lists it as uncharacterized. NCBI's taxonomy places the organism in Eukaryota, Metazoa, Chordata, Mammalia, Primates, Cebidae. The transcript is spliced from 4 exons. The record is from RefSeq and is a predicted model, not a curated record.